This 261-nucleotide signal recognition particle RNA is filed under the name Chloroflexota bacterium. RNAcentral's name for it is "Chloroflexi bacterium signal recognition particle sRNA large type". It matches the Rfam family "Bacterial large signal recognition particle RNA". From Rfam's summary of the family: The signal recognition particle (SRP) is a universally conserved ribonucleoprotein involved in the co-translational targeting of proteins to membranes. Archaeal SRP consists of a 7S RNA and homologues of the eukaryotic SRP19 and SRP54 proteins. Lineage: Bacteria; Bacillati; Chloroflexota. The record is from RNAcentral.
UCGUGCUAGGCGGGGAGCUAGCGGUGCCCUGUAACCCGCAAUCCGCUCAGCGGGGCUGAAUGCCCGCCCGCGGUGCGUCCCCCGGGGACUGCCGAGAUCAAGCGGCGUUGAGAGCCUGGUCCUGCGCGACGAUGCCCGGUUAACCCCGUCAGGGCCGGAAGGCAGCAGCGGUACGCCGGUCACAUCGGGCGCCGUAGGAGCGCCGGGCUUGAGUUGGCUGGUGGAGGCAAGCCCGGAGUGCGUAUCAACGGCGGGGCACGA